Non-coding RNA from Haemonchus contortus (barber pole worm), 79 nucleotides. The record is from Rfam. Lineage: Eukaryota; Metazoa; Nematoda; Chromadorea; Rhabditida; Trichostrongylidae.
GGCCCAAAUUUGAAGUAGAAUAGAUUGGUAUUAUCCGCUGAUCUACUCUACUAAUCUACUCUACUUAAAAUUUGGGCCC